Long non-coding RNA from Labeo rohita (rohu), 330 nucleotides. RefSeq lists it as uncharacterized. NCBI's taxonomy places the organism in Eukaryota, Metazoa, Chordata, Actinopteri, Cypriniformes, Cyprinidae. The record is from RefSeq and is a predicted model, not a curated record. The transcript is spliced from 3 exons.
UCAGGAAGCUACAUCCAGAGGCAGACUUUCUGUAGACUGGGCUACAUUUGCAAGAUGGAAAGGUGCAUUAAGCUGGGUGACAUGACUUCAGAUGUUAAAGGGGAGAGUGCUUUCAAACCACAGAAUUCUGGAAGCCAUUCAUUGACAUACAAACCUGUGGGGACCAGCAUGGUGGGUUUGUGCCUUGGGGUUGAGACAACGACAUCCCAGACCUUCGCCCUUUGUUACGGACUGUGCCACUGAAGCCACUGACUUGUUGCCUGGAAAUUUCUCCAGCUUGCAGUAUAUUAUAUUGAUGGACAUAAGUCUUCAUGUGUGAUUUUUUUUUUU